ACUCCUACGGGAGGCAGCAGUGGGGAAUUUUGGACAAUGGGCGAAAGCCUGAUCCAGCCAUGCCGCGUGCAGGAUGAAGGCCUUCGGGUUGUAAACUGCUUUUGUACGGAACGAAACGGCCUUUUCUAAUAAAGAGGGCUAAUGACGGUACCGUAAGAAUAAGCACCGGCUAACUACGUGCCAGCAGCCGCGGUAAUACGUAGGGUGCAAGCGUUAAUCGGAAUUACUGGGCGUAAAGCGUGCGCAGGCGGUUAUGUAAGACAGUUGUGAAAUCCCCGGGCUCAACCUGGGAACUGCAUCUGUGACUGCAUAGCUAGAGUACGGUAGAGGGGGAUGGAAUUCCGCGUGUAGCAGUGAAAUGCGUAGAUAUGCGGAGGAACACCGAUGGCGAAGGCAAUCCCCUGGACCUGUACUGACGCUCAUGCACGAAAGCGUGGGGAGCAAACAGGAUUAGAAACCCUUGUAGUCCCAUGA
This 474-nucleotide ribosomal RNA is filed under the name uncultured organism. RNAcentral's name for it is "partial 16S ribosomal RNA". It matches the Rfam family "Bacterial small subunit ribosomal RNA", at positions 335 to 800 of the family's 1533-position model. The record is from RNAcentral.